UCAUGGCUCAGGAUGAACGCUGGCGGCGUGCCUAACACAUGCAAGUCGAGCGAACCCUUCAGGGUGAGCGGCGGACGGGUGAGUAACGCGUGGGUAACCUGCCCUGUACACACGGAUAACAUACCGAAAGGUAUGCUAAUACGAGAUAACAUAUUUUAAUCGCAUGGUUAAGAUAUCAAAGCUCCGGCGGUACAGGAUGGACCCGCGUCUGAUUAGCUAGUUGGUGAGGUAAUGGCUCACCAAGGCGACGAUCAGUAGCCGACCUGAGAGGGUGAUCGGCCACACUGGAACUGAGACACGGUCCAGACUCCUACGGGAGGCAGCAGUGGGGAAUAUUGCACAAUGGGCGAAAGCCUGAUGCAGCAACGCCGCGUGAGCGAUGAAGGCCUUCGGGUCGUAAAGCUCUGUCCUCAAGGAAGAUAAUGACGGUACUUGAGGAGGAAGCCCCGGCUAACUACGUGCCAGCAGCCGCGGUAAUACGUAGGGGGCUAGCGUUAUCCGGAAUUACUGGGCGUAAAGGGUGCGUAGGCGGUCUUUCAAGCCAGAAGUGAAAGGCUACGGCUCAACCGUAGUAAGCUUUUGGAACUGUAAGACUUGAGUGCAGGAGAGGAGAGUGGAAUUCCUAGUGUAGCGGUGAAAUGCGUAGAUAUUAGGAGGAACACCAGUAGCGAAGGCGGCUCUCUGGACUGUAACUGACGCUGAGGCACGAAAGCGUGGGGAGCAAACAGGAUUAGAUACCCUGGUAGUCCACGCCGUAAACGAUGAGUACUAGGUGUCGGGGGUUACCCCCCUCGGUGCCGCAGCUAACGCAUUAAGUACUCCGCCUGGGAAGUACGCUCGCAAGAGUGAAACUCAAAGGAAUUGACGGGGACC
This 873-nucleotide ribosomal RNA is filed under the name uncultured bacterium. RNAcentral describes it as "bacterial SSU rRNA". It matches the Rfam family "Bacterial small subunit ribosomal RNA", at positions 17 to 921 of the family's 1533-position model. The record is from RNAcentral.